This 89-nucleotide transfer RNA is filed under the name Photobacterium phosphoreum. Its description in RNAcentral is "tRNA-Pro". The stretch from base 1 to 62 matches the Rfam family "tRNA". Rfam says of the family: Transfer RNA (tRNA) molecules are approximately 80 nucleotides in length. The record is from RNAcentral. Lineage: Bacteria; Pseudomonadati; Pseudomonadota; Gammaproteobacteria; Vibrionales; Vibrionaceae.
CGGUGAAUAGCGCAGUUUGGUAGCGCAUCUGGUUUGGGACCAGAGGGUCGGGGGUUCCCUGAUAUUAGAACCUAGCUCUUCACCUACCA